Molecule: ribosomal RNA, 380 nt
Filed under: uncultured bacterium
Lineage: Bacteria
Description: bacterial SSU rRNA
Rfam family: Bacterial small subunit ribosomal RNA
Source: RNAcentral
GACGAACGCUGGCGGCGUGCUUAACACAUGCAAGUCGAGCGGUAAGGCCCUUUCGGGGGUACACGAGCGGCGAACGGGUGAGUAACACGUGGGUGACCUGCCCUCAGCUCUGGGAUAAGCCUGGGAAACCGGGUCUAAUACUGGAUAUGACUCCAUGACGCAUGUUGGUGGGGUGGAAAGCCUUGUGCGGCUGAGGAUGGGCCCGCGGCCUAUCAGCUUGGUUGGGUGGGGUGANGGCCUACCAAGGCGACGACGGGUAGCCGGCCUGAGAGGGCGACCGGCCACACUGGGACUGAGACACGGCCCAGACUCCUACGGGAGGCAGCAGGUGGGGAAUCUUGCGCAAGUGGGACGAAAGCCUGACGCAGCGACGCCGCGUG